UUCUUUUUAUGGUCAUAAACCUUGUGUUUAAAUUUCAUAGAUUUCUAUUUACUUAUACUAACGUUAUGGUGCGAAAACCAAGAAAAAUGCUUAUUUGGGUCCCUUUUUGGCCCCUAAUUCCUAAACUGUUGGGACCUAAACUCCCAAAAUCAAUACCAACCUUCCUUUUGAAGUCAUUAACAUUGUGUUUAAAUUUCAUUGAUUUCUAUUUACUUAAACUAAUGUCAUGGUGCGAAAACCAAGAAUAAUGCUUAUUUGGGCCCUUUUUUGGCCACUAAUUCCUAAACUGUUGAGACCAAAACUCCCAAAAUCAAUCCCAACCGUUCUUUUGUGGUCAUAAACCUUGUGUCAAAAUUUCAUAGAUUUCUAUUAAACUUAAACUAAAGUUAUAGUGCGAAACCAAGAAAAUGCUUAUUUGGGCCCUUUUUGGCCCCUAAUUCCUAAAAUGUUGGGACCAAAACUCCCAAAAUCAAUACCAACCUUCCUUUUGUGGUCAUAAACCUUGUGUUAAAAUUUCAUAGAUUUCCAUUCACUUUUACUAAAGUUAGAGUGCGAAAACUAAAAGUAUUCGGACGCCGGACGACGACGACGACGACGCCGACGCCAACGUGAUAGCAAUAUACGACGAAAAUUUUUUCAAAAUUUGCGGUCGUAUAAAAAAGAAAUAUGUUGUUCCUUCAAUAUACUAUGUCGUUCCCUCAAGAUUCUAUGUCGUUCCCACAAAAUAGUUAUCUCGUUCCCUCAAGAUACUAUGUCGUUCCCACAAGAUAGUUAUCUCGUUCCCACAAGAUGCUAUGUCGUUC
RNAcentral lists this long non-coding RNA (803 nucleotides) under Mytilus galloprovincialis (Mediterranean mussel). The record is from RNAcentral. Lineage: Eukaryota; Metazoa; Mollusca; Bivalvia; Mytilida; Mytilidae.